UCACUCUGAAUGGUCUUCGCGCCAGAAGCACCACCCUCAACACCCGAAGCACCUUCUUUCCCCGACAUCUUUCUUAACGCACCAAUCGAAUGAAGAAUAGAUCCAAAACUAAAAAGAUAGAGUCUUUACCAAAAGAUCCCACCUUUAUCACCAAACGAAGCCCUAGACGAGCCUCCAAAUUGAUCUACUCCUCCAAAUAGCUCAAGUGUAACCUGGCUCUGAUACCACUUAUUGUGU
This 237-nucleotide microRNA precursor is filed under the name Asparagus officinalis (garden asparagus). RNAcentral's name for it is "miR8155 stem-loop (aof-MIR8155)". Lineage: Eukaryota; Viridiplantae; Streptophyta; Magnoliopsida; Asparagales; Asparagaceae. The record is from miRBase by way of RNAcentral.